GCUCCGGUGGCGGAACUGGUAGACGCGCGGGACUCAAAAUUCCGUGCCCUUCGGGCGUGUGGGUUCGAAUCCCACCCGGAGCA
RNAcentral lists this transfer RNA (83 nucleotides) under Egibacter rhizosphaerae. It matches the Rfam family "tRNA". From Rfam's summary of the family: Transfer RNA (tRNA) molecules are approximately 80 nucleotides in length. Their secondary structure includes four short double-helical elements and three loops (D, anti-codon, and T loops). Further hydrogen bonds mediate the characteristic L-shaped molecular structure. tRNAs have two regions of fundamental functional importance: the anti-codon, which is responsible for specific mRNA codon recognition, and the 3' end, to which the tRNAs corresponding amino acid is attached (by aminoacyl-tRNA synthetases). tRNAs cope with the degeneracy of the genetic code in two manners: having more than one tRNA (with a specific anti-codon) for a particular amino acid; and 'wobble' base-pairing, i.e. permitting non-standard base-pairing at the 3rd anti-codon position. Lineage: Bacteria; Bacillati; Actinomycetota; Nitriliruptoria; Egibacterales; Egibacteraceae. The record is from Rfam by way of RNAcentral.